This 542-nucleotide long non-coding RNA is filed under the name Nicotiana tabacum (common tobacco). Its description in RNAcentral is "long non-coding RNA (NTAB_LNC000365)". The record is from RNAcentral. Lineage: Eukaryota; Viridiplantae; Streptophyta; Magnoliopsida; Solanales; Solanaceae.
UACAUUAUACAUACACAACAACAGAGAGGAGAUCGAAAGCAUUCUCACAGAUUUUUCAUCUUCAAUAUCAAUAAAAAAGGUUAGUCAACCAUGAUCUUAGCCAAUCAUGUUUUCUGCUAUGGCUUUUUUAUGCUUCUUUUCUUCAGUUUCAUUGUAUUCUUUCUCCUGAUUAGGUUUUAUGUGUAUUUUAUACAUCAGAUCUUGAGAAAUUGAAAGGAAAAGUUACAAUAAUGGAAAGAGGAGGACAAAGUGAAGGAGAAAGCGAGAAAGGGAAAGCAAUCAAAUUAUCGGUAUGUCAUGUCAUACAAUAUGUUUAUUACAACUAAUGUUGACUUGGAUGAUUGUCCAAUAUUUAAUCCUUAAAAUACAAUAUGUAUGUAUAAUUUUAAUAUAUAUAUAAAAAGGAAGAAACUCAACUCUAUCUUAAAAGAAGAAACCAACGUGUUUUUUCUCCACUGAGACACUAAAAUAAAUUUUUUCCAGAAAAGAGAAACUCUAUUCAACUACAGAGUACUGCAACUAUAUUCUACAACUGAUCAGGU